UACGGAGGGUGCGAGCGUUGUCCGGAAUCACUGGGCGUAAAGGGCGCGUAGGCGGCGCGGGAAGUCAUCGGUGGAAGUUCAGGGCUCAACUCUGAAUCGGCCGGUGAUACUCUCGUGCUUGAGCACUGUAGAGGCAGGUGGAAUUCCGGGUGUAGCGGUGGAAUGCGUAGAGAUCCGGAAGACACCGGUGGCGAAGGCGGCCUGCUGGGCAUUAACUGACGCUGAGGAGCGAAAGCUGGGGAGCGAACAGG
RNAcentral lists this ribosomal RNA (251 nucleotides) under uncultured bacterium. RNAcentral describes it as "partial 16S ribosomal RNA". It matches the Rfam family "Bacterial small subunit ribosomal RNA", at positions 524 to 776 of the family's 1533-position model. The record is from RNAcentral.